This 1182-nucleotide long non-coding RNA is filed under the name Salmo salar (Atlantic salmon). Its description in RNAcentral is "lncRNA (ENSSSAG00000116568.1)". Lineage: Eukaryota; Metazoa; Chordata; Actinopteri; Salmoniformes; Salmonidae. The record is from RNAcentral.
UGUAGGUGUAGUUGUAGUUGUGGGUGUAGUUGUAGGUAAAGUUGUAGGUAUGGGUGUCGACGUAGGUGUAGUUGUAGGUGAGAGUUGCAGGUGUUGUUGUAGGUGUAGUUGUAGGUGAAGUUGUAUGUGUAAUUGUAGGUGUAGGUGCAUUUGUAGGUGUAUGUGUAGUUGUAGAUGUAAGUGAAGGUGUAGUUGUAGGUGUGGUUGUAAGCGAAGGUGUAGGUGUAGUUGUAGGUGUAGUUGUAUGUUUAGGUGUAGGUGUAGUUGUAUGUUUAGGUGUAGGCGUAGUUGUGGGUGUAGUUGUAGUUGUACGUGUAGGUGUAGUUGUAAGCGAAGGUGCAGUUGUAGGUGUAGGCGUAGAUGUAGUUGUAGGCGUAGUGUAGGAUUAGGCGUAGUUGUAGGUGUAGGCAUAGUUGUAGUUGUAAGUGUAGAUGCAGUUGUAGGUUUAGUUAUAGGAAUAGGUGUAGUUGUAAGCGAAGGUGUAGUUUGUAGGUGUAGUUGUAGGUGUAGAUGUAGUUGUAGGUGUAGUUGUAUGUUUAGGUGUAGGCGUAGUUGUAGGUGUAGUUGUAGAUGUACGUGUAGGUGUAGUUGUAAGCGAAGGUGUAGGUGCAUUUGUAGGUGUAUGUGUAUAUGUAGAUGUAAGUGAAGGUGUAGUUGUAGGUGUAGUUGUUGGUGUUGGUGUGGGUGUAGGUGUAGUUGUAGGUGUAGUAGUAGGCGUAGUUGUAGAUGUAGUUGUAGGUGUCGGUGUAGUUGUAGGUGUAGUUGUAGGCACAGUUGUAGUUGUAGUUGUAGUCGUAGGCAUAGGUUUUGGUGUAGGUUUAGGUGUAGUUGUAGGUGUAGUUGUAUGUUUAGGUGUAGGCGUAGUUGUAGGUGUAGUUGUACGUGUAGGUGUAGUUGUAAGCGAAGGUGUAGGUGUAGUUGUAGGUGUAGAUGUAGUUGUAGGUGUAGUUGUAUGUUUAGGUGUAGGCGUAGUUGUGGGUGUAGUUGUAGUUGUACGUGUAGGUAUAGUUGUAAGCGAAGGUGCAGUUGUAGGUGUAGGCGUAGAUGUAGUUGUAGUUGUAGGUGUAGGUGUAGAUGUAGUUGUAGGUGUAGUUGUAUGUUUAGGUGUAGGCGUAGUUGUAGGUGUAGUUGUAGAUGUACGUGUAGAUGUAGUUGUAAGCAAAGGUGUAGAUGUAGUUGUAG